Molecule: ribosomal RNA, 406 nt
Filed under: uncultured bacterium
Lineage: Bacteria
Description: bacterial SSU rRNA
Rfam family: Bacterial small subunit ribosomal RNA
Source: RNAcentral
UGGCCUUGACAUGUCCGGAAUCCUGCAGAGAUGCGGGAGUGCCUUCGGGAAUCGGAACACAGGUGCUGCAUGGCUGUCGUCAGCUCGUGUCGUGAGAUGUUGGGUUAAGUCCCGCAACGAGCGCAACCCUUGUCCUUAGUUGCCAGCACGUAAUGGUGGGAACUCUAAGGAGACUGCCGGUGACAAACCGGAGGAAGGCGGGGACGACGUCAAGUCAUCAUGGCCCUUAUGGGAUGGGCUACACACGUGCUACAAUGGGGGGUACAAAGAGCAGCCAACUGGCGACAGUGCGCGAAUCUCAUAAAACCUCUCGUAGUCCGGAUCGGAGUCUGCAACUCGACUCCGUGAAGUCGGAAUCGCUAGUAAUCGUGAAUCAGAAUGUCACGGUGAAUACGUUCCCGGGCCU